Parelaphostrongylus tenuis is the source of this 70-nucleotide non-coding RNA. The record is from the annotation of a GenBank genome assembly. Lineage: Eukaryota; Metazoa; Nematoda; Chromadorea; Rhabditida; Metastrongylidae.
GCGUUGGUGGGGCAACGGUUAGUGCGCUCCCGAAAAGGGUGAGAUCUGGGUUGGAAUCCCGGCUGACGCA